GGGAGGACAUCAUCGCCAGUGCUACCAACGCUGCGACAGUUUCGUUGCCAACCACUCGCUGGUUCUCUCAGUCUCAACUUCUGCGGUGACCUCUCUGUCUAGAUUGUGAGGCGACGUCUCCUUCUCCGUGACAAGGUCAGCGGACUGUGACCGGGCCACGAUAGUGGUGCGAACCUGGUCCCAAUAAAGAUCAAGCCAAACUAUGGAGACAGUAGAAAGAUCAGUGUUUGCCAGGAUUCAGGUGGAAGAGCGAUGAAUAGCCAGAGCAUGGAAUUUUAGG
RNAcentral lists this long non-coding RNA (280 nucleotides) under Mustela putorius furo (domestic ferret). RNAcentral describes it as "lncRNA (ENSMPUG00000032041.1)". Lineage: Eukaryota; Metazoa; Chordata; Mammalia; Carnivora; Mustelidae. The record is from RNAcentral.